Long non-coding RNA from Dunckerocampus dactyliophorus (ringed pipefish), 481 nucleotides. RefSeq lists it as uncharacterized. The transcript is spliced from 3 exons. The record is from RefSeq and is a predicted model, not a curated record. Lineage: Eukaryota; Metazoa; Chordata; Actinopteri; Syngnathiformes; Syngnathidae.
GUUUUUACAUUUUACAGCGGUGGACUUCUUUUUACACUGGCGGGACAAAUAAUGAUUUAAAAAAUGGUUACUGCCCUCAUCACUAAAUAGUAUGAAAGCUGUUAUAGGUCGAGCCUGGCCCUUUAAGAAGAAUUGCAUUGUGGGAAGUUGAGUGUCUGUCUCUUCCCUCUCUCGUCUGUCUGUACCACUCAUUGUUUUCUGCGUCCUGAUUGGCUGACCAUUGUCAAUCAAUCUCCUUCCGGCAGCCUUGCCAUGUCUCCCGUGUCAUCGAUAGCUUGCUUGCUUGCUAGCUUGUAAAUGAAUCAUCGGUUCGAAGGAGGAGGACUGCUGCACAUGACUGCCCUCUAUAGCCCACACACGGAACAGCAGAUCACGGGUGUUCUCAAGGGGACCCGCUUUGAAGACGUAGACGACAUCAUGAUGGCCGUGACGACGGCGCUGCCCACAAUCCCAGAAGAAUCCUUCCAGGAGUGAAUGAAGG